RNAcentral lists this ribosomal RNA (253 nucleotides) under uncultured bacterium. Its description in RNAcentral is "partial 16S ribosomal RNA". It matches the Rfam family "Bacterial small subunit ribosomal RNA", at positions 524 to 776 of the family's 1533-position model. The record is from RNAcentral.
UACAGAGGUCCCAAGCGUUGUUCGGAUUCAUUGGGCGUAAAGGGUGCGUAGGUGGCGCCGUAAGUCGGGUGUGAAAUUUCGGAGCUUAACUCCGAAACUGCAUUCGAUACUGCGGUGCUUGAGGACUGGAGAGGAGACUGGAAUUCAUGGUGUAGCAGUGAAAUGCGUAGAGAUCAUGAGGAAGACCAGUGGCGAAGGCGGGUCUCUGGACAGUUCCUGACACUGAGGCACGAAGGCCAGGGGAGCAAACAGG